UCACAUACAUCUUCCCCGUUCUCACAAACUCCAAACCCGCCUUCCACAGACCCCCAGGGACGACAACAGUAACGGCUGACAACCCGACCUCCUCGCCGCCGGCCCCCAACUCACCCCCGACGAUGCCCGCUCCCUCCUCUCCUUCUUCGCCCACGACCAGCUCCUCUCCAUCGUCCAAUCCGCCACCCUCCGCCACCUCGACGUCCUCUCCGCCUUCCGCACGAACGGCCAUCCUAGACCAGAUCGCGUCUCUCCACUGCUCUCUGUCUCUGUCUCUGUUUUUGCUUUGUUAGACACACUCGAGAUUCUGUUCUCUUCUCAUUCUCUUCGAGUUGAAUCGAAGAAGUCAACGAUGUUUAGAUUGAAUAGAAGAAUUCAACGAUCUGUGUCUUCACUCGAGAUUCUGAUGAUUGUUGAUUUUGCCGAUUUCUUUUCCAUUCAGUGAUGUUCGGCUUUCGAAUAAAUCAAUUUUUAGGGCUUAUUUCUUGGUAACAUUUCUUAGGGAUUUUGUUAGGGCUUUUUGUUUUGGUAUGAUUUUCUAUCUAGAUCAGCUGAUUUGGAUAAGGAAUUUUCUUUGCUUAACGAUCUACUGAUUUCUUACCUAGGUAAAGAAUGUCGAUCUACUGAUUUCCACUUCUGGUCCUCUACUCUGAAAUCGCAACCGGUAAGUUCUGAAGUUAGUUGUGUGUUUCGCUAGAAUUAUAAGUUCAUUUUGUUAUGCUCAAAGGCUUCCUUUCUUUUGUUUUGUUAUGGAUUAGACAAUAAUGAAGAAAGUGAAAGCGAGCGAUUUCUACUAAUUUUGGUUCUAGCUCACCGAUUCUGAAAUCUCACUUAAAGCCUGUGGUAAGUUUUCUUGUUAGAAACUACGCUUGAAGAUAUACAGAUAUUGGAUUUUCUCUUCGACUUAGAAACUGAUGCACUGAUAGUUCCAAAGUUUUAGUGGCAAGCUACAGUUAUUCAACUCUUGCAUGUAAGUUAGUUGUCUAAUUUUCUUCUUCAAGAAUGAUAGCUUCAACUGUGUGAAUUGUAUCUUGGUUUCAACUACUGUGUUCAACUUGUAGGCCUCUCUUGUGCCUCUUGAAUAAACAUCAAUAAGCUGUGUGACUCAAUAUUCCUCCUUAGUAGCGAUUUACUUGUCGCUGUUGAUUUCCAUUUCUAUAGUAACAACUGCCAACCACGGAUAGAAGAGAUAUCCAUACUAACAUUGUGUAACAUCUAAAAUUUUCCUUCUCUGGUUAAUUUAUUGAAUGUCCCGCUGAAGAUAUUUCUUCGCGGUGAUAUCUUAGUUAGCCAUGCCUUCAGAAUACAAUAUCAACAAAGAGUGAGGUCAUAUAAAAUUUGCAGUUAGACAAAAGGUAUGGUCUGAGAUUCUGUUUUUUCUUUUUCCAAAAGAACAAAAAGGAUGGAAGAUAGAAAAUCUAUAGCUAAUUGAUUUCAGUUAGUCAUCGUUGAUUUUUGACUUCCCUGGUAAGAAUCAAUUGGUCAGACAUUGCAAUUUGAAUUGCGGAGUCUGGGAAUCAUCUUACAGAAAUUUCAGAAAGGUGUCACCCAUUUGAAUGAUGAAGUGAGAAAUCGAAAGAGAAUUAUUGGGUAACAUAUUCAAGCCAUUGUAGUUUCACUUAACUUAUCAAAAAAUAAUGUGGUCACAUAUAAUCUACACUUUGUGUAUCUAUUACAUUUAAUCCUUUUGCCGUUGGCAUCAGAAUUUUUCCCUGCUGGUUGCUAUUGUAUGUAGAAGAAAAGUUCAUCUUCUUCCCCCUCAACAAAGUGGUGGUGGUGUCUGUUUCCUUGUCUUGUGUUUUCGCUGUCUCUUGUGUCUUUUAGAGGCUUUCUCUUCCUCUCCUCUUUUGGGAGAGCUAAGAGAUCCAGUAGACACUGCCCCGUUCUCUUCAUCAGCAUUUUCCUGCUAAUGGUUCAGGCACUUGGAUUCUGCUAAGACAUGGCUUGAAGGCUUGGCCAAUAAAAAUUGUUGAUCAUGAGUUCCGCAAAGGAAUUUGAGACUCGCCUCUAACAUGCCUUCAAGAUGCUUGGCGCUUGAACAAAUGGUGAUAAGAAUGGCUGCUUGUACCUGGACC
Molecule: RNA transcript, 2075 nt
Organism: Rhododendron vialii
Lineage: Eukaryota; Viridiplantae; Streptophyta; Magnoliopsida; Ericales; Ericaceae
Exons: 4
Source: RefSeq, a predicted model, not a curated record